Molecule: non-coding RNA, 75 nt
Organism: Myotis lucifugus (little brown bat)
Lineage: Eukaryota; Metazoa; Chordata; Mammalia; Chiroptera; Vespertilionidae
Source: Rfam
AGUGGUUCUCUGGUUAUGCACCCUGGAAUCAGGCUCCCUCCUCUCUGGUUCCAGGUGUGUCACCCAAGAACCGCA